Molecule: ribosomal RNA, 558 nt
Filed under: Triticum aestivum (bread wheat)
Lineage: Eukaryota; Viridiplantae; Streptophyta; Magnoliopsida; Poales; Poaceae
Description: partial small subunit ribosomal RNA
Rfam family: MIR1120/MIR1122 microRNA precursor family (bases 318-432)
Source: RNAcentral
AUGCUCACACAUUUAACUUCGGUCUCGAUGAUCCUCGGAAAUGGUGUCCCUGAUGUCCCAGCCCCUCCACCACCCCGUGCACUGGCCCUCGACUUGAGGCCUGUGCUAGAUCCUAGGGAUUUCCAGAAUAAAUGGAGCCAACUAGCAUUAUCUUUUUCUCAGGAAUGCUCUUUAACUCCACAAGGGGCAGCUUCUUUGAUGAAUCACCAAUCGCUCAUUCGUCAUAUGCAAAACAACUACAUUCAAUGCGUUGCUUCAGGCGGCCAGCCUCCAAACCACAAGUUCUUCUUUUAUGGUCAGAAAGCUGGGGCUGCUGCUUUCUACUCCCUCCGUUCGGAAUUACUUGUCACAAAAAUGGAUGUAUCUACAACUAAAAUACAUCUAGAUACAUUCAUUUCUCGAACGAGUAAUUCCGAACGGAGGGAGUACCUUGUAGAAUGCAUUGUGAACCCAGCAUCAUCCAAGGCCCAGCUCAAAAUUAAGGCCGACGAUGGGGCUACUGCUGAGGCCUUUUCUACUUUGUUUCAAUCAGUAUUGUCUGAAUUUGGGCUUUCUUGA